Molecule: ribosomal RNA, 469 nt
Filed under: uncultured bacterium
Lineage: Bacteria
Description: partial 16S ribosomal RNA
Rfam family: Bacterial small subunit ribosomal RNA
Source: RNAcentral
GAUGAACGCUGGCGGCGUGCUUAACACAUGCAAGUCGAACGGUGAACACGGAGCUUGCUCUGUGGGAUCAGUGGCGAACGGGUGAGUAACACGUGAGCAACCUGCCCCUGACUCUGGGAUAAGCGCUGGAAACGGCGUCUAAUACUGGAUAUGUGACGUGACCGCAUGGUCUGCGUUUGGAAAGAUUUUUCGGUUGGGGAUGGGCUCGCGGCCUAUCAGCUUGUUGGUGAGGUAAUGGCUCACCAAGGCGUCGACGGGUAGCCGGCCUGAGAGGGUGACCGGCCACACUGGGAUUGAGACACGGCCCAGACUCCUACGGGAGGCAGCAGUGGGGAAUAUUGCACAAUGGGCGAAAGCCUGAUGCAGCAACGCCGCGUGAGGGAUGACGGCCUUCGGGUUGUAAACCUUUUUUAGCAGGGAAGAAGCGAAAGUGACGGUACCUGCAGAAAAAGCGCCGGCUAACCACGUG